UACGUAGGUGGCAAGCGUUGUCCGGAUUUAUUGGGUUUAAAGGGUGCGUAGGCGGUCCUAUAAGUCAGUGCUGAAAUAUCCCGGCUUAACCGGGAGGGUGGCAUUGAUACUGUGGGACUUGAGUAAAGUUGAGGUUGGCGGAAUUGACGGUGUAGCGGUGAAAUGCUUAGAUAUCGUCAAGAACACCUAUUGCGAAGGCAGCUAACUAAGCUUUAACUGACGCUGAGGCACGAAAGUGUGGGGAGCAAACAGG
This 253-nucleotide ribosomal RNA is filed under the name uncultured bacterium. RNAcentral's name for it is "partial 16S ribosomal RNA". It matches the Rfam family "Bacterial small subunit ribosomal RNA", at positions 524 to 776 of the family's 1533-position model. The record is from RNAcentral.